CAGACACUAAAACAGCUCAUGUUAAGAACCCUCACAAAAGAGACCAAACUAGAUGACCCCUGUCCUAAUGUCUUUGGUUGGGGCGACCACGGGGUAACAAAAAACCCCCGCGCGGAACAGAAACACUGUUUCCAGAACCAAGAGCACCCGCUCUAAGUAACAAGACCCACUUGACCUUUGAGAUCCGGCACAAGCCGAUCAACGGACCGAGUUACCCUAGGGAUAACAGCGCAAUCUUCUUCGAGAGUUCAUAUCGACGAGAAGGUUUACGACCUCGAUGUUGGAUCAGGACAUCCUAAUGGUGCAGCCGCUAUUAAG
RNAcentral lists this ribosomal RNA (318 nucleotides) under Scarus rubroviolaceus (ember parrotfish). RNAcentral's name for it is "partial large subunit ribosomal RNA". It matches the Rfam family "Bacterial large subunit ribosomal RNA", at positions 2186 to 2569 of the family's 2925-position model. Lineage: Eukaryota; Metazoa; Chordata; Actinopteri; Labriformes; Labridae. The record is from RNAcentral.